This is a long non-coding RNA of Marmota monax (woodchuck), 2607 nucleotides long. RefSeq lists it as uncharacterized. Lineage: Eukaryota; Metazoa; Chordata; Mammalia; Rodentia; Sciuridae. The record is from RefSeq and is a predicted model, not a curated record. The transcript has 3 exons.
CCAGCGACGCUUUCAGGCGAGAGAAGCCCAGCUGCAGCUGCUGCGGGUCCGGGGCCUGGGGAGCGCUCCUGGAGAGUGAGUAGAAGCGCUGAAGCGUCUCAUCUAGUUCGUUGCUGCCUGACAUUUUGUCCCGCCCUCGCAUGACAUGCGGACGUGCAGCCACCAGGAGGCCGUCCUUCUGGUCCCCCAUUGCGCAGCAUGACUUUUGCGGCAGGCUGGUGUUGGGGCAUCUUUUCUGCGGCCAGCAGAAGUGGCGACAGCCUUGUAGGCACGUGUCCAAAGAGGCCACCUCCGUCCACUUGGAAAAAGGCACGGACUCCACUGAGUCCUCCUCCGCCAGGGGAAACUAGAAAGUGGCCCAGGGCUCUUGAGGAGGCCACCCGUGUGGGGCAGAGUCAACCAAGAGGCGCCUGGGACGUUUAGCAACAGCCGCUCUUCCUCCCCAUGAUGGCCCUGACCAGAGAUGUGGACGUGCACCUGGCGCGGGCGUGGACGACUAAGAAGGCCCGCGUGGAUUGUUUGCUGAGGUGACCGCAGUGGGCUGAGCAGAGGCCACGCUAGGCAGAAGCACUGCCCCUUCCUCCAGGUGCAGGACCUGCCUGUGGGGCUUGAGCUGUGCGUCCCUGAAGGGGACCAGCCGGGGUGCACCCUGGCAGGGGAAGGUCCCAGAGGCCUCUUCAACCCAGAAGACAACCGCUGGCACUGAGGACGCGACCCUGCUGGGUUUCCUAAAGAAGGAUGUGAGAGAGCACAGGGGGCUCUGCGGGAAGCCACUGGGCUGGGAACAUGCCCUCGGGCACUUUUGUGUUUGGGGCCCAGGAGGAGAGGCGCACCAGCCUGGUCAGGUGGAGCCUGUGCCCUGCAGGGCCUCACCCCAGCAUGGCACGAGGUGGACCUUCUCCCUUCCCUGGAGCCCUCUCCCACGGGGCCCCAUUUCUCCACGGUGGUUCGUCUGACUGAAAGGAUACUCUGGCCAGGAAAGGCUGGCAAUCCUUGAGGUCCACAAAAGUGCAAUUUGCCCCCCAAAACGGAGUGUCCUUGGGCAGGAGCUUCCCCACCUCCAGGCACACACUCAGCGGGAGACCUUGCUGUCACAUGCAGAGGUACACCCCAUAGGGUGGCAGAUGCCUGUCGCCCGGCCGGUCCCUGGGAUCUGGCCCGGUGAGCCCUGGACCCGGCCCAGCCAGCACUGCCCCCCUGUCCCUGGGCAGUUGUCCACGCGGCACGGGAAACUCGUCCCUGUUCCCGACCCUCUUCUGUAUGUGGGUUUGGCAGGGACACGUGCCCCUUGGAGGCCUGUGCACUGUGCUGCUAGGUUGGAAUUGAGUCCCCACUGCGGUGGGGGGAGGGGACCCUUCCUGCACUAGGGACUGUGUGGAGAUUCCUCCUUCAAGGUGUAAUGUCAUUGCUCCUGCCCUCACGGGUCGGCUGAGGCCAAUCCUGCCCUCCCUUUACUCUGACCCUUCAUGUUGGGGCAUGCUGGGGGGAGGUCAGGGAUCCUGCUUGACCCCCUGCGUCCCACCAUCCACCUGUGGUCUGUGGUGUUCCCAGCGCCUGGCCAGAGUUCACACCUGUCCCCUCCUGUUGCUGGGCAUCUGCGCCCCCUCUGAGUUUGGGAGAGGGAGAGGAAGUCGCGACGCGCCAAAGGGGCCACCGAGAGGCAGAGCCCUGCUCUGGAGCCCAGUGGCAAAGGGGGGGACCUGGCCGGGAUCUGCUCUUCGGCUCCUCACCAGAUGCGACAGAGCCUAGGACUCCUGUUCCCUUCUCUCCUAGGGGACACCAGAAGAGGGGGCAGGCCCAGGGCGACCCUGGGAAACUCACAGGUGGGCUUUGCCCUCAGCAGGAGGAAGCUGGCCACUGUCCCUCCCCCGUGGAUGAAGUUUCCCCUGGCUCUGGGAGCGCAGCCCCCCUCGCCCUCCACAUCCUGUGAGACCCAGCAGCUCUGUCUCUUGCUACCCUGCAGGCUAGCUGUAGGUGCCCGCUGCGGGGGCCCUGCGUGUUCCCCUGCACCCCACACCAGGCGGCCCGAGUGCCAGCGGGAGGGACAGCAGCACAGUCCGGCUCAUCCGUGCCUUUGGUUGGACUCUGUCUCUUCUUCUCCACAGAAAGCUGCUCAGCGUCAUGGAGUGUUUUGAAUCUGUUCCUCUUGAAAUGUAUCAUGACAAGAGCGAGAUGUUCCAGCAAUGGGACAUCCGGGCAGGUGCAGGGAAGGAGCUUAGAAAUGGGCGAGUGAGGAAGGCCAUGGGGCCUCUGGCCAUGGCCCGGUCAUGGCGGGGCAGCCCAGCAGGCCCUCGGGGGCAGAGGUGAAGCCCUUCCAGGUGUGAGCACAAAGUCCUGGGAGCUCCUGACCUGUUCUCCGAAGGACGCCUGGCUGCAGCCAGCACAUCGCGUGGCUCCUGGGGGCAACAGUGGGCACGGAGAGCCUGGCUGGGGACAAGCAGAGGGUCCCUGGGAGCCCAGCCAGCCCAAGGGUUGUGGAGGUGGCCCUGUGGGAGCAUGCUGCUUCCAGAGUUUCUACACCUCUAGGUGGAUCGGGGGUGGAAGAUGGUUUCAGGAUAGUGGUGGAAAGCAUCUUUCAGAGCCAACUGGGAACACAGGGGGUGGCCA